RNAcentral lists this ribosomal RNA (429 nucleotides) under Pseudomonadota bacterium. RNAcentral's name for it is "Proteobacteria bacterium partial 16S ribosomal RNA". It matches the Rfam family "Bacterial small subunit ribosomal RNA", at positions 355 to 776 of the family's 1533-position model. Lineage: Bacteria; Pseudomonadati; Pseudomonadota. The record is from RNAcentral.
UGGGGAAUAUUGGACAAUGGGCGAAAGCCUGAUCCAGCCAUGCCGCGUGUGUGAAGAAGGUCUUCGGAUUGUAAAGCACUUUAAGUUAGGAGGAAGGGCAGUAAGCGAAUACCUUGCUGUUUUGACGUUACCGACAGAAUAAGCACCGGCUAACUCUGUGCCAGCAGCCGCGGUAAUACAGAGGGUGCAAGCGUUAAUCGGAAUUACUGGGCGUAAAGCGCGCGUAGGUGGUUCGUUAAGUUGAAUGUGAAAGCCCCGGGCUCAACCUGGGAACUGCAUCCAAAACUGGCGAGCUAGAGUAGGGCAGAGGGUGGUGGAAUUUCCUGUGUAGCGGUGAAAUGCGUAGAUAUAGGAAGGAACACCAGUGGCGAAGGCGACCACCUGGGCUCAUACUGACACUGAGGUGCGAAAGCGUGGGGAGCAAACAGG